RNAcentral lists this ribosomal RNA (460 nucleotides) under Tausonia pullulans. RNAcentral's name for it is "eukaryotic LSU rRNA". It matches the Rfam family "Eukaryotic large subunit ribosomal RNA", at positions 179 to 627 of the family's 3401-position model. Lineage: Eukaryota; Fungi; Basidiomycota; Tremellomycetes; Cystofilobasidiales; Mrakiaceae. The record is from RNAcentral.
GUACAAGUCCGUUGGAACACGGCGUCAUAGAGGGUGAGAAUCCCGUCCUUGACACAGAUCUCCAGUGCUUUGUGAUGCGCUCUCAAAGAGUCGAGUUGUUUGGGAAUGCAGCUCAAAAUGGGUGGUAAAUUCCAUCUAAAGCUAAAUAUUGGCGAGAAACCGAUAGCGAACAAGUACCGUGAGGGAAAGAUGAAAAGCACUUUGGAAAGAGAGUUAAACAGUACGUGAAAUUGUUGAAAGGGAAACGAUUGAAGUCAGUCAUGCUUUCCGAGACUCAGCCGGUUCUGCCGGUGUACUUCUCGGUUUGCAGGCCAGCAUCAGUUUUGGGCGGUGGAAAAGGUUGGCGGGAAUGUGGCAUCCUCGGAUGUGUUAUAGCCCGCUUUCGAAUACAUCGCCCGGGACUGAGGAACGCAGCACGCCUCUUGUAGUCGGUCUUCGGACACGUCCGUGCUUAGAUGCU